GCUGUUGUUUCUCCAAGACGUUUCCACUUCACAAUAACAAUUGACCGAGUAGCUCUAGACAAACUGACUUGUUGGAGAAUGUGGAACCCUAUGACAGUGCCCCGUUGAAAGUAACUGAGCUCUUCAGUAAGGCCAUUCUACUGCGAAUGUUUGUCUAUGGAGAUUGAAUGGCUGUGUGCUCGAUUUUAAACACCUGUCAGCAACAGGUGUGGCUGAAAUAGACAAAUCCACAUAUACUUGUGUGUGUGUGUAUAUAUAUAUAUAUAUAUAUAUGAGUGUCUGUGAAAGAGUGACAAAAUUACAAAACCAAUGGAGGCCCCCCUGGAGGUCAGGGCCCUGGCUCAACUACCUUACCUAGCAAUCUUAAAAUGUUUUGCUGACAUGGUCUCAUUGAGCGACUGUCAUAAGUGGGAAACUACUGAUACACAACAAAAUGUCAAAAUUGCACCUGGUGUAUUCUACUUUUCAAAAGUGAGUUGAGACCCAACAGUUCCUUGAAAAAGAAAAGGGCAGCGCGUAGUCUGCCUAUAGGAAGAGGCGAAUCCAAGUCUGUCGUACCUGCUGCACAUAAACAUUUUGGGGGAAUAAUCUUCAAAUUAACACUAAUAAUUCAACAAAUGGAAUCAGAUCUACUCAGUUAAGCCAAUGUAAAGGUGUGUGAACCAAAGUCAAAGUAUAACACUGGCCAAAGCUGUUGUUACACUGAAAUAAACCCAACUUCAUGAGGGAAGCACACAUGGCAAAUAUAAAAAGCAUUUAAACAUAAAACUGUUUAUUUUAACAAGUGUUGUGUUUCUGAACAUCAUUUUAAACAACUUAUUCAGCUCUGCUUCCCUCAGCUGGUCGAACUGAAAACUAAUACAGCGCCUCCUUCUAGACAGUUCUGGAAAGGUCAAUGUUGAACCCCUAAUUGAUCCCCCUUAUUGUGUAAAAUAAACCUUAAUGUUAAUAUAACCAUAGAUUUUUUUUUGCAUUAACCAAAAUAUUUGUUGUUGAAAAAUAGAUAUUUCACAAACUGAGUUCAUAUUAUAAAAUUUAGCCAGUGUUCAACGUGUUGUCUAUUUAUCCAUCUCAGCUCCAUCUUGAUUCGACGGUAGAAGACAAACAACUUAAAACAAACAAGUCUUGUAUAAAUCUGAAUUGGUAACAGAAUUGAACCGGUGAGUUGAAUCGUUGCCAGUUGUCAAUGAGAUUUCAUGACAUCAUACAGGGGAAGUACCUAAAAUCAGCACUUAUACAAUGGAUGGGAUACUGUUGGUUUAAGACAGCUAUAAAAACAAUAGAACCUAGAGUGUAUAAAACACACAAAACACCUGUCCAUUUAAAACAACAGUGUCUAAAGUGCCACAAAUAACUAUCCUGGUGGAUUUAUGUAUGGUGUGUGGUAAUUAGACCCAGGGAGGUCCUGGUCCUGCCCAGGGACUCCGGGCAGGGCUGUGGCCCAAGUAGGCUCCUCUGUAGUGGGGAGGGCUGGGAGGUAAGGCUGGGCUGUGCCGGGGGGACAGAAAGCCUUCAUGUCCUGGAAAGAAGGGCUGAGGGUGGCAGGGUCUAGACACCAUAACAAAUGGGGGGCUGGGGAGCCUUCUGUACUCCUGUGACUGCACGCCCCUCAUCUUCAUGGGGAAGGGACCAGAGUGGGGAUUGGGUCCAAACCCCUGGGGCAUUGUAUUGUGGGGGUACGGGAGGACCUGGGGUGUAAACUCGUCAGGGUUAGAGUGAACGAAGUGCGGGCCAGGGGUGGUUCUAAACCAAUCAGAAACCACUUGGUGGGGGUCACAGUUUAUUCUGUGGCCCUCUGGGAAUGGCAGGUAGGAGCCAGGGUCAGUCUCAUACUCCUGCGGACCUGAUCUAUAGGUGUCAGGGGUCAGCUGUGUGCCUCCAUAGGCCCAUGCUUCUCUGUACUCAGCCUCACAUAACUGCACCUGCUGCAUAGCUGCUAUGUCACCCAUACGACUGCUCAUCUCUUCUCGGUGAAGGGCUGGCCUUGCAAAUACUGUUGGUGGUAAAAGUCUGAGUUCUCCUCCCUCUCUCCAUCCUUUCCUUCCUCUCUCUCCCCCUCCUCCACCAUGACCUCCACGAUGAGCCCAACUCCAUUCUGAAUUUCAGCUCUGCAUCGCUCCUCUUCCUCCAUCAACUGACGGUCAGUUAGCUCCUCUCCUGUAGCAUACCAACAGUCAGUUGUCACUUCUGUUGUAAAAGACUGAUUGUCAGUUGAUCGUUCUCCUGUUUGGUACAUUUUGUCAUUUGACCUGCUUCCUGUGGAAAACCCACUGUCUGUUAUCCUCUCUCCAGUAGAGUACAGACUGUCAGUUGUCCUGUCAUCCUCUGCAAGCCUCUGUGCCCCAGAAUGACACUCAUUCCCCCUCUCCUCCUCCUGUUCUUCUUCCAUUAGAGGAGUGUCUGUCAAGCUCUCCUUCAAGAGACAGCCGGUAGUGAAGAGAAUCGGCCCGGCAACAGACGCUGUGUCAGUGAUGUCUCUGGCACAGGCUAGACCGGGGUAAAUACUGCCUUGUCGGUUGUUCUGCCCCACUCGGACAUGGAACUUUGUGUCAGUGAGUCGGUUAUUUUCUGAAUACAGAUGGUCAGUUCGGUCCUGCUCUCUCCUGAGGUAAACCAGGUCAGUUGUGUUUUUCUCUCUGCCAUCGUACAAAGCAUAGUCGGUGAACCUCUGUUCCCCUCCGAGAUACAGACGGUCUUUCUCUGUGUCCUCGUCUCCCAUAGUCAGCUGCUCAUCAGGUAUGGCUGGGCUCAGUCUCAUAGUUGAAGUGUGUGCAUGUCCCGGAGUGCGUCUCAGUCCCGGAGUGUGUGUAUUUUCAUGUGUGUUUCCGAGUCUUGCGGCAACUGAGUUUCCCGGCUGGCCAAGCAAACGUGAGGGAUCGGGAGAGGGUUGGAGUGAGGCAUCUACGGUGGGGGAGUGAAGGGGUGAGGCGUGUCUGAGGGAGGAGGGGGAGGUUUCCAGGCUGAAGGAGUUCCUCUCCAACAGCCAGGGGCCGUCCGUCAUAGAUAGACUGACCUUGAACACCGGCUCACAGCGAAUCAGCUUUGCAGGAACCCCCUGCAGUCCCGCCCCCUUCCCCUCAGGCCCGCCCAGAGACGUCUGACUUCCAGCUGUGACAUUUGGGGUCGGGGAAAGAGAGGGGUCAUGCUGCCAUGAUGAGGCAGGACGCUUCAGUGAAGCACCUUAAGUGAGAGACAAAAGGAGACGAAGAGAGCGAGGGAGAGAGAAAGAGGCAACGAGAGAGAGAAAGACACUCACAAAGAAGAGGAGUGAUAAAUGUUAGUAAAAAGUUAUACAUUUUUCUAUAGGCAAAAUAAAGACAACCCAAUGUGUGUAGCAGGGAAUGAUUCAGGGGACGUAAAUUAUAAAAAAUGAAUUAAAGGGCCAGUGCUGUCAAAAAUGUGACUUUCCUGCAUUUUAUGUACAUUUCCACACUAGGAGUUGGAAUACUACUGUGAAAAUUAUGAUAAUGCCCUUUUAGUGCAAGAGCUGUUUGAAAAGACCGCCUGACAUUUCAGCCUAUUUUGGUGGAAUGUAGUUUUGGCCUGCCUGGUGACAUCACCAUCCGGUAAAUUAGUUAAUAGACCAAUAAGAAAGAGUUCCAAACCAGUCUACCAAUAACAGCUAGUUUUCAUUUUUUCCCCCUCCCCCACUUAGACCACUCCCAGACAGUCCUAGCAAAAUGACUGCUCUUGCUUGAGAAAUUGCUCUUGCCAAGAAGCUAUUUUUGUAUAUUUUUUUCAAUUUUGAUUGAAAAUCACAGGAAGGUACUUAAUUAUUAUUUGACACGGGGAUGAAAACAGCUGCAUUGGGGCUUUAAACUAACUGUCAAAAGGUUAUUUCCAACACAGUGGUACCCAAUGUCUUUAACCACCCAUUAACAAAGUUGGCGCAUCAUCCCAUGAGGUCAUACACUCACCAACCAGUGGCUUGCUUCCAUGGAGAAACUCCUCCUCCAACGAACUAAGCCGUGAUUGGAUAGAGACACUCUGCUGCAACACAGGGGACUUCUCCGAUUGGCUAGAUGAGUUCCGACUCUGGGUGGUCGGACUCCUCCAUAGGACGGUUCGGUUGUCAAGCUGGACAACAGGCCUCUCUGGUUGGACGGAGAGCCUCCGAGGCGAUAUCACAGUUCUCUGUGACUGGAUGGUAAGAUACUCCGACUGGACUGAUUGCUUCACUGAUUGGCUCUGAAGAUCUCUCUGCUCCCUCCCAGUCCUGGUGGCAUGCAAGAGGAUGAGAGCUGGAGGAGAGAGAGAGAGCGAUAGAUCCGGGGGGUGACACAGCGUGAGUGACGCUGACUGGUACAAAGAGAAAAAAAACUGAUGGAUGAAGGAGAAGAGAGAAUAUGGACUGACCAUCACUCUCGCUGUGUGUUGUCAUAUCGUCAUACAUGGCAGCAUCCAACUUCAGCACCUAACAGAAAGACAGGACAGAGGAGAUUUGCACGCACACACAAACAUCACCCCAGCAUGCACAGACACACACAUACCUGUACGUCCCCGGUUCCUUCUCUCUUCUCUAGUAUUUGAGCCAUCUCCAUAAGAGGCCGGGCCAGCUUGGACAGGUCAGGAGGACUCUGCUUCCACUCUGACACAAAGUGAGGGUGAUGGACUUUCUAUACAACGACAGCCACAGGAGAGAGGAAACACACAACUGGUAUACUGGUAUACAUGCAGCUGUAUUAGGCUAGUUGUAGGUCAGUGAUUGUGUAGAGCAGUGUGUUGCAUUCCCCAACGGGGUGCGCAUUUUUGUUUUUGUCCUAGCACUAAAACACCAGAUUUAAAAAAAUUAAUCAUCAAGCCUUUGAUAAGAACGUGGUGUGUUAAUGCUAGGGCACAAAAAAAAAAUGCACCCCUUUGUGUCCCUGGGACAAGGAUUGAGAAACCCUGGUGUAAGGAGGUGUGGUUUAACCGUACAGGUAUUACAAUAAGACAUCAGAAUCAUUAAGUAGCUUGUGAGUAAAGAGCACAGAUCCAGAAACACACAUCCCACACUCACAAUGUAGUUGUAUCGGUGGAGACUCCCCAUGAUGUGGCUCCUGACAUCAGCCUUACUGAGACGACACACACACACCUCACACAGGUACACCGCCUCAGAGUCCAAGCCGAGUGUCACACACUCUGUCACACAGCCCAGACCUAAAAACACACACACAGGUCUAAAGUACACACAUUGGUCUAAAACACAGACGUAUCAUUUACAAAAACACAGAGUUGUUCCUGACCGAUUAUGGGCUGCAGUCUGUUCUUGUUGUUCAGAUACACCCUAAGGGAGUUGGACAGCAGGCUCUGGCCACACACAGCUACAUGAGGAUGAGAGAAUGAAUGAAUGACAAUGAAAGGAAGAAAGAGAGGAUGCUGAAUGGAUGAAUGAGGAUGAAUAAAGAGCUGAUAACCCAUUGCCUACCAUUGUGUGCUCCUCCAGGCUGCAUAGUGGCAGACCUCAGGUGUCAAACACCCUAACAACUGAGAAAGAGUGAGAGAAAAAAAUGCGACAGAGUAGAUGGAGAAACAGAGAGAGGGAGGCAGGGGGGGAACACUGUGUGCAAACACCACAAGGUGGCUCAACAACACCAGUCACUGCAAAUACGGGGCUGCAAGGGACAGAAGCAGAUAUCAGCUAUGUUUUUUUAAUAAUAUCGAGAUAAUGCAUUAUCUAGCUGCUAUACCACACUCUACAUCUGUCAGUUUGAGUCUUGACUCAAAUGGGUGCUGUAAAGUCAAUCUCAUUUUGCCGUGCUCGAUUGACAAUUGGCAUUGAUCCCAAUCAAUUCCAUAAAAUAGACUCCUGCUCACGUUUAACGGUGCAAUGUUUCACAAUAUCAUAUUUCACACAGUUUGACCAUACAAAUAUAUUGCCAAAUCCAUUCUUACCAACACAAGACUUGAAAAUGAAGCCGACUAUCAGUCUCACCAUUCGUCUUUGUUGAUGAUGCACGAGCAUGUGAAAGGUGAUGUAGCUGAUUGACUGGCGUCACCAAGGUGUGCUGAUAAAAAGUCAAAUAUAACUCAACUACAGGACUCGAUCUAUAUUUGCGAGAUAGAAGAACAUACAAAUCCUUAAUGUAGAUAUAAUAAUUAAUCUCGGCAAGAACAGAGCGCAAUGUGCUAAAAUUGAAGAAUAGGUCAGUAACAACUUGAAUGUGGUCACUGGCCUGUCUGGCUAACGUGUCAGCAAUAUUUUCUUCCAAAUGGUUUAGCAAAACGAAAGUGGCUAGCCAAUAGCCAAGAAACAAAACUGGAGUGUCAGGAUAACAACAUUCGACAAGCUACCAAAUCAAGGCUCGUAUGAAAACUGAAGUAUAAAUGUCACUCUCGCCAAGCUAUCGUUAACAAUCAAAUGUGUGCGAAGGAAACUCCGACAGAACUUAAAUUACAUGAACGCUAGCUAGCCAGCAAGCAACUAGCUAGCCAGCAAGUUAAAAAAAAGUUAUCCAUAUGGCUAAUUAACAUAUAACAAUAGAAUGACCUACCGGUCUGUACUCCACGUCAGGGGAAAUGGUGUGUUUGAUCUGUCUUUCUGAAAUAAAUUGUUAAAAGAGAUUACUGACACGGAUUAUCAACUCGACGACCGCACUGCGUAAAGCAUGAGGUCAGAUACAGCGGGAGAAACUCAAGAGUACGGAACCAAAGAGGGGAAAUCUUUGAAGAGCAAUGUGAGCUCAAAAAGUGUACAUUAUAUUGUCCUGCAUGACAUGAAGUUGGCUAUGAAACACUAAAGAACAAAACAGCCAUAAAGAUAAUGUUGCUGUAUGAAGAGUUCCCGGUCUGUGUAAUGUCACCAUCAACUGAACAUACAAAACCCUCUGCCAGUCAAACGUGGACUGCCAUCUGGAAAGAUGCCUUCCAAGUUACCAUCCUCAGUGAGCUGUCUGCAAUUCUAGCAGACAUGCUCUCUCUGGCUUUACUCAGGAGCUAAUGAAUCUUGAACAGCUUCCUUUUCUCACCUCCACAGUCUUAAUCUUUUAUCCUGUUCAAGAGUUAUACAUUUGUCUAUUGACAUAGUGUUCUAAUUUUAUUCAAUGUAUGGUAAUUGAUUGUAUUCAUCAUACUAAAUCUAUUAGAAUGAGGGUGUGUGUAAUUCUUAGUGUCCUUUUCGAGUCUCAAAGAAUUCGAUUUAAAU
Molecule: long non-coding RNA, 7123 nt
Organism: Oncorhynchus tshawytscha (Chinook salmon)
Lineage: Eukaryota; Metazoa; Chordata; Actinopteri; Salmoniformes; Salmonidae
Source: Ensembl